GUUAAACGGAAACAAAUCGGAAUAAGCCGUACGCAUAGUGAUCGGAAACAAUUCCGUUCCCCACCACUUGGAGGAUCCGUUUUUGACCGACAAUCUAAACGGAUAUGUUUCCGUGGACAGAUGAAGACUGUGUUGCCCCCUCCCCUCAAAUUAAUUCAAUCGAAGGGGCUGUCGCAGUGGCAGUCGACACCUAAUGCCUAAUGAAUGACAGAUCCUUUCAUUCACUAAAUCUUGGUGGUCAAGCAAGAUGGUGUUGGGAACACACAGUGACCCAGAGUUGUUUACGUCUUGUGCACAUUCUGUGUUGGCUUCUAUUCACCCAAGUAAUCAAUAAUCCCUUUUGUGUCUUCCCUAAAGCAAAGGAUUCUAUCAGCUGCUUGCUUCAUUUGAAUCCAGUUGACAGUUACAUUUACUAGCUGUUCGAAGUUUUAUGGGUGGCUACUGUUUAGUAUUAGUAACAUUAAGCUUCAUCUGAUUUAAGUAAAAGAAAUAUUAAGGGAAAAACGACUCUUUGGAAACUAACAUAAACAUCAUGGUAUAGGAGUUAUAUAUAUGGUAUAUGGUAUAACUCCUAUACCAUGAUAAACAUGUACCAAUCCUUUACACACAAAACAACAACAAAAGAAGAGCUUGUUAUGGUGCUGUAAUAGUAUAUUUGCAGAAUUGCAAAAUUGCUUGCCUGAAGAAUGUACUCAGGAUUGAAAAAUGUUCACAGCAAAAACGUCUAGUUUCAAUUCUAAACGUCAAAUAAACAGAUUUCCGGGCAAGCCGGUCAUGAAGGAAAUGGAAGAAUAUUCUCUGUAUUACAUGGCAAGAAGAAUACAUCCUUGACGUCACCUCUGUGCUGCAGAAAAAUCAGCAAAUCUACAUCCUAAUUUUCUGCUGUUCCGUCAGUCACUCCAAUGCUUUCGACAACAGGACAUCAGCAGCAUUCUUCAAUCAGACUGCUCCUGUUUGUUUUGAAGAUGUAUUGCUUGUCAUGCCUGAAUUACGUUGUUUCCCUACUUCAUUGGACAGCAGACUUAGAUCACAUGUCGACUGUGAAAAAGAUCAUCUUUGUUACCGAAAAUGGCUCUCUCCAUUCGCGACACCAGACCUCCCCAGUGUGUCAUUCUGAUGCAGAGCUCCAUAAAUGAAGUUGAACGUUUUGAACCAUCUCAGGCCAAAGCUGAAAGGUAUUAGGAAAGUAGUCGCUUUUUGGCUAGAAUUUCUACGCCAUCAGAUGCAUCAAUAGGAAUGGUGUUCACUUCCUCGACGUCAUUGCUCACAAAACUUUUAUGCAUUGUUCUUAUCUCGAAGUUAUAUCGACUUGAAAAGGCCAAUCGGAAGAGAGUACUCUUUUCCUUGACAUAAAGAACGGAAAUUUAAUGCAUUAGCAAGUCAUCCGCAUCCAACCAGAUCAAACGCUCGAGAUAUCCCGCCUCGUCCGGCAACUUACUAUCCAGCAACGCAUCCAUCAACACUAAUUGACUACAUGCCGAAUCGACGAUUUCCAUACAAGAUGAAUGUUAAAAUCCAAGGAGAUCUGGUGAGCAGGAUGCAACGGACUAUGUCAUGUCAAACCAUUAGCUGAAUACAACGAAUACCAUCAGCAUCAGCUCUCCAGAACGAGAGGUUAAUAAUCAUACUGAAUCAAAAGAGAUACCUAGUUGAACGAGAUUUUAGAAUGAUAACGACUGGAAGUGCAAGUGGAAAUUUCAAAGAACGCUACCUGCACGUUAGAUUUCAUCGCUGAUUCAUCUCGAAGAUAAAAUAAUUAAUUUUUAUAAAUUGAAGUGCAUAUCUGGGCUCCCUUCUUUUCUGUGGUCCCGUUUCCCCUUGACUUGUGAUAAGCCCGUAGGGGGUCAUGCCCCUACUGUGA
This 1861-nucleotide long non-coding RNA is filed under the name Daphnia magna. RNAcentral describes it as "uncharacterized LOC116932964, transcript variant X3". The record is from RNAcentral. Lineage: Eukaryota; Metazoa; Arthropoda; Branchiopoda; Diplostraca; Daphniidae.